AGAGUUUGAUCAUGGCUCAGGACGAACGCUGGCGGCGUGCCUAAUACAUGCAAGUCGAGCGGAUUGAUUUGGGGCUUGCUCCAAUGAUGUCAGCGGCGGACGGGUGAGUAACACGUGGGUAACCUGCCUGACAGACUGGGAUAACGCUUGGAAACGAGUGCUAAUACCGGAUAGGCUUCCUGAUCGCAUGGUUGGGAAGGGAAAGAGGCUAUCGCCUCACUGUUAGAUGGACCCGCGGCGCAUUAGCUAGUUGGUGAGGUAAUGGCUCACCAAGGCGACGAUGCGCAGCCGACCUGAGAGGGUGACCGGCCACGCUGGGACUGAGACACGGCCCAGACUCCUACGGGAGGCAGCAGUAGGGAAUCUUCCACAAUGGGCGCAAGCCUGAUGGAGCAACGCCGCGUGAGUGAUGAAGGCCUUCGGGUUGUAAAACUCUGUCUUCUGUGACGAACAAGCCUGUGAGUGGAAAGCUCAGGCCCUGACGGUAACAGAGGAGGAAGCCACGGCUAACUACGUGCCAGCAGCCGCGGUAAUACGUAGGUGGCAAGCGUUGUCCGGAAUCACUGGGCGUAAAGCGCGCGCAGGCGGCGAUCUACGUCUGGGGUGAAAGCUCUGGAGCUCAACUCUCGGGACUGCCUUGGAUACGGGAUCGCUUGAGGAUUGGAGAGGCAAGGGGAAUUCUACGUGUAGCGGUGAAAUGCGUAGAUAUGUGGAGGAACACCUGUGGCGAACGCGCUUUGCUGGUCAAUUUCUGACGCUGAGGCGCGAAAGCGUGGGGAGCAAACAGGAUUAGAUACCCUGAUAGUCCACGCUGUAACGAUGAGUGCUAGGUGUGGGGGGUAUCACUCCUCAGUGCCGAGCUAACGCAUAAGCACUGCGUCUGGGGAGUACGGUCGCA
Molecule: ribosomal RNA, 898 nt
Filed under: uncultured bacterium
Lineage: Bacteria
Description: bacterial SSU rRNA
Rfam family: Bacterial small subunit ribosomal RNA
Source: RNAcentral